This 432-nucleotide ribosomal RNA is filed under the name uncultured bacterium. RNAcentral describes it as "partial 16S ribosomal RNA". It matches the Rfam family "Bacterial small subunit ribosomal RNA", at positions 338 to 795 of the family's 1533-position model. The record is from RNAcentral.
CCUACGGGUGGCAGCAGUAAGGAAUAUUGGUCAAUGGAGGCAACUCUGAACCAGCCAUGCCGCGUGCAGGAAGACGGCCUAUGGGUUGUAAACUGCUUUUAUCUGGGAAUAUGUACCAGAAGAAUAAGGAUCGGCUAACUCCGUGCCAGCAGCCGCGGUAAUACGGAGGAUCCAAGCGUUAUCCGGAUUUAUUGGGUUUAAAGGGUGCGUAGGCGGCCUGUUAAGUCAGAGGUGAAAGACGGUAGCUCAACUAUCGCAGUGCCUUUGAUACUGACGGGCUUGAAUAAACUAGAGGUAGGCGGAAUGAGACAAGUAGCGGUGAAAUGCAUAGAUAUGUCUCAGAACACCGAUUGCGAAGGCAGCUUACUAUGGUUUAUUGACGCUGAGGCACGAAAGCGUGGGGAUCAAACAGGAUUAGAUACCCUUGUAGUC